This 253-nucleotide ribosomal RNA is filed under the name uncultured bacterium. Its description in RNAcentral is "partial 16S ribosomal RNA". It matches the Rfam family "Bacterial small subunit ribosomal RNA", at positions 524 to 776 of the family's 1533-position model. The record is from RNAcentral.
UACGUAGGGUGCAAGCGUUAAUCGGAAUUACUGGGCGUAAAGGGCGCGUAGGCGGUUCUUUAAGUCAGGCGUGAAAGCCCUGGGCUCAACCUGGGAGUGGCGCUUGAUACUGGAGGACUAGAGAGUGGGAGAGGUUGGUGGAAUUCCCAGUGUAGAGGUGAAAUUCGUAGAUAUUGGGAAGAACACCGGUGGCGAAGGCGGCCAACUGGACCAUUUCUGACGCUGAGGCGCGAAAGCGUGGGGAGCAAACAGG